ACACCUCAACUCUCAUGGUUCGCCAUGAUGAGCUUGGACUCUGGGGGUUUUGCUGGCCCGCGGUCGGCUCCCCUCAAAUGAAUCAGCCUCCCAGUGUUUGGUGGCAUCACGGGUGUGAUAAAUAUCUACGCUCGCGGUUGUCUGCCAGGUAACCUUUGGUGACAAAGGUUUGCUGGAGCUCACAGAUGUCACACACCGUUUAGAACAGCUUUUUUGAAC
This 219-nucleotide unclassified non-coding RNA is filed under the name uncultured Thelephora. RNAcentral describes it as "sequence contains ITS2". The record is from RNAcentral. Lineage: Eukaryota; Fungi; Basidiomycota; Agaricomycetes; Thelephorales; Thelephoraceae.